Molecule: ribosomal RNA, 717 nt
Filed under: Lyophyllum leucophaeatum
Lineage: Eukaryota; Fungi; Basidiomycota; Agaricomycetes; Agaricales; Lyophyllaceae
Description: eukaryotic LSU rRNA
Rfam family: 5.8S ribosomal RNA (bases 308-461)
Source: RNAcentral
UCUUGGUCAUUUAGAGGAAGUAAAAGUCGUAACAAGGUUUCCGUAGGUGAACCUGCGGAAGGAUCAUUAUAGAAUAAACAUUGUCUAGGUUGCUGCUGGCUUCUAGGAGCAUGUGCACGCCUGACGCCGUUUUCUUACCACCUGUGCACCUUUUGUAGACCUAUGAGAUGUAUAUUUAAAGGGACUGUUGAGCGAAAGUUCACUAUUCCUUUGCAUAUUAUUUCUAGUCUACGUCUUUAUCAUAUACCCUUUAAAAACAAGUAACAGAAUGUAUAUUAAUUGGCCCUUGUGCCUUUAAACAAAAUACAACUUUCAACAACGGAUCUCUUGGCUCUCGCAUCGAUGAAGAACGCAGCGAAAUGCGAUAAGUAAUGUGAAUUGCAGAAUUCAGUGAAUCAUCGAAUCUUUGAACGCACCUUGCGCUCCUUGGUAUUCCGAGGAGCAUGCCUGUUUGAGUGUCAUUAAAUUAAUCAAUCCUUACAGUUUUGUUACUGUUAAGGACUUGGAUUGUGGAGGUUUGCGGGCUUUCUAAGAAGUCGGCUCCUCUUAAAAGCAUGAGUGAAACCUUUGUUAACAAUCUCUAGUGUGAUAAUUAUCUACGCUAUUGAUAUUAAUAAGGAUUUGCUUUCUAACUGUCUUUACUUUGAAGACAAUUUAUUGACCAAUUUGACCUCAAAUCAGGUAGGACUACCCGCUGAACUUAAGCAUAUCAAUAAG